Molecule: ribosomal RNA, 253 nt
Filed under: uncultured bacterium
Lineage: Bacteria
Description: partial 16S ribosomal RNA
Rfam family: Bacterial small subunit ribosomal RNA
Source: RNAcentral
UACGUAGGGUGCAAGCGUUGUCCGGAAUUAUUGGGCGUAAAGAGCUCGUAGGCGGCUUGUCGCGUCGACUGUGAAAUCCCGAGGCUCAACUUCGGGCUUGCAGUCGAUACGGGCAGGCUAGAGUUCGGUAGGGGAGACUGGAAUUCCUGGUGUAGCGGUGGAAUGCGCAGAUAUCAGGAGGAACACCAAUGGCGAAGGCAGAUCUCUGGGCCGUAACUGACGCUGAGGAGCGAAAGCAUGGGGAGCGAACAGG